AGAAAUAGAUGAAUAGAAGAAAUAGAAAAGAAAAAAGACAAAAAGAAAUGAAGCGUGUUAUUGGCACAGUCGAUUUUUGGUUU
This 83-nucleotide non-coding RNA is filed under the name Aurantiochytrium limacinum. The record is from RNAcentral. Lineage: Eukaryota; Bigyra; Thraustochytrida; Thraustochytriidae.